AGGGAUCAUUACUGAGUGAGGGCUCACGCCCGACCUCCAACCCUUUGUGAACCAAACUUGUUGCUUCGGGGGCGACCCUGCCGACGACUCCGUCGCCGGGCGCCCCCGGAGGUCUUCUAAACACUGCAUCUUUGCGUCGGAGUUUAAAACAAAUUAAACAAAACUUUCAACAACGGAUCUCUUGGUUCUGGCAUCGAUGAAGAACGCAGCGAAAUGCGAUAAGUAAUGUGAAUUGCAGAAUUCAGUGAAUCAUCGAAUCUUUGAACGCACAUUGCGCCCUUUGGUAUUCCGAAGGGCAUGCCUGUUCGAGCGUCAUUUCACCACUCAAGCCUGGCUUGGUAUUGGGCGUCGCGGUGUUCCGCGCGCCUUAAAGUCUUCCGGCUGAGCUGUCCGUCUCUAAGCGUUGUGGAUUUUUCAAUUCGCUUCGGAGUGCGGGUGGCCGCGGCCGUUAAAUCUUUAUUCAAAGGUUGACCUCGGAUCAGGUAGGGAUA
Molecule: ribosomal RNA, 491 nt
Filed under: Pseudocercospora ampelopsis
Lineage: Eukaryota; Fungi; Ascomycota; Dothideomycetes; Mycosphaerellales; Mycosphaerellaceae
Description: eukaryotic LSU rRNA
Rfam family: 5.8S ribosomal RNA (bases 162-315)
Source: RNAcentral